This 229-nucleotide ribosomal RNA is filed under the name uncultured bacterium. RNAcentral's name for it is "partial 16S ribosomal RNA". It matches the Rfam family "Bacterial small subunit ribosomal RNA", at positions 568 to 796 of the family's 1533-position model. The record is from RNAcentral.
UACGUAGGCGGACCAGAAAGUAAGAGGUGAAAUCCCAGAGCUCAACCCUGGAACUGCCUUUUAAACUCCUGGUCUAGAGUUCGAGAGAGGUGAAUGGAAUUCCGAGUGUAGAGGUGAAAUUCGUAGAUAUUCGGAGGAACACCAGUGGCGAAGGCGGCUCACUGGCUCGAUACUGACGCUGAGGUACGAAAGUGUGGGGAGCAAACAGGAUUAGAUACCCUGGUAGUCC